RNAcentral lists this ribosomal RNA (468 nucleotides) under uncultured bacterium. Its description in RNAcentral is "partial 16S ribosomal RNA". It matches the Rfam family "Bacterial small subunit ribosomal RNA", at positions 28 to 507 of the family's 1533-position model. The record is from RNAcentral.
GAUGAACGCUGGCGGCGUGCUUAACACAUGCAAGUCGAACGGAAAGGCCCUACUUUUGCGUGGUGCUUGUGUGGCGAACGGGUGAGUAACACGUGAGUAUCCCGUCCCUGUCUUUGGGAUAACUUUACGAAACUGGGGCUAAUAUCGGAUAGGAUCUCCUGCUGCAUGGGGGGGGUUGGAAAGUUUCGGCGGUUGGGGCUGGUCUCGCUGCUUACCAGCUUGUUGGUGGGGUAGGUGCUGACCAAGGCUUCGACGGCUAGCCGGCAUUGGAGGGUGGACGGGGUCAUUGGGACUGAGAUACGGCGCAGUAGCGUACGGGAGGCAACAGUGGGGAGUAUUACACAAUGAGCGGAAGCCAGAGGUGGAGGCGCCGCGUGCGGAAUAACGGCCUUCGAGUUAUGAACCGAUUUCGAAUGUGACGAGGCGAGAGUGACGGUAAUGAGUCAAGAAGCCCCGGCUAACUACGUG